Molecule: long non-coding RNA, 1012 nt
Filed under: Chelonoidis abingdonii (Abingdon island giant tortoise)
Lineage: Eukaryota; Metazoa; Chordata; Testudines; Testudinidae
Description: lncRNA (ENSCABG00000020700.1)
Source: RNAcentral
UCAACUGUGAGGUCCAGGCCAGUCUCUGCUUCCAAGUUACAGCAAGUUCGUUACCUCACGGGGCGGCUGUGCGAAAUGGUGCCCCCCAGGGAGGUUGACCCCACUUCUGGUGUGGACACAGCUCAGUCUCCAGGAGAAUUCACAAGAGGCAGCUGCAGUAGAGGGACAGGGAAACACCUUUUUACUCCCCUUUGGAAGGGAGUUCAAGAAAGUGGCCUUAAUUUAGCUUCAAGUCUUUCUACUCUAGUAUCAGCCCAGGGGCUUCCUAUGAGCCACCUAUGUACCUAGUCAUCCUGGCCCCAUUGCUGUUCGGUUAGGGUGAGCUCCCCCCCCACAUUUAGUAUCACAUUUCUUCUCCUAGUAGCUGCUGUCCCCACAAGAAUAAGCAGCAGUUUGGGGGUGCAGGAUGUGGGGGGAAGCCCAGUUUAAGGCUUGUAUUGCAGCAUGGUCCUUGUAGAGGGGAUAUGCAAAUUACCCCUAGGCAGAGCUGGAGUAUGCAAACGAAGGAGUGUGUGGCCUGCAUUCCUGGGCUGCCCCUGUAGAGGGGAUUCUGCCCCAUAGCUGGACGGCACCUGCUGCCCCCCCUGGCUUGGGGGUCGCUGAUGGAGCAUUUCCUUGCAGAUCGGAGAGGCCGCGUCCUACACCCCGAGCAGGUUGGAGGAGACCGAGAGCAGGGACGGUGUCUCCUACCAGCGGGUCUGCCGGGCUCGCCCUGCCCCGCCCCCCAUGCGGGUGGAGCCGCGCCGCGCCAUCCACCCCCUGCCCCGCGGGGGGCCAAGGGGGGCCGGGGAGGGAGGCUCCCGGCGCUUCCUGCCUCUCUGGCUGCAGCUGCUGCUCUUUGGGGCGCUCACGGCCUUCCUGGGCUACGUGUACUGGGCCCUGCAGGGCGGCGCCGACGACAACCCAUUCGUGCUGCCCCCCGAGGAGUAAGGGGACCCCCAUCCUGCCUCCCUGCCCCCCAACACCUCCAAGGGCCCACGUCCUGUGUCUCAGCCCUCCCCAUCCUGCCCCC